CUAGAAGAGGCAGCAUCACAAGUUGGCGUAGAUUCCUCGUCGUGAUCAGCACCUAAGGAUACGUCCUCCUCGCUGCUAGAAGAACUAGCUGCAACCGUCUUCUGACGACGUGCUGUAAAUUUCAUUCUACGCAUCUACACAAAUGUAUACGAAUAAUUACAUAAUUAACUUCGAUUAUUUAAAAAAAAAUUCGACAGAGUCUCCCCUGUACUUGGGGGUCCCAAGUUGUCGACAAAAUCAUAUUACACUUCCAAUUUUAUUUCACAUCCCGAUCCAAUCAUCCUAGAUCUCAACCCUGCUCAUCAUCAUCAACACAACAUUUUAUUCAAUAACAUCAUAUAGAAUUACAACUAUGAACAUUCAUUGUUAAAUUGGUACUUAGAGUUACAAACAUUAUAUUAAAGUCAUACAUUCAAAUUUACGGAUUAAUAUUACAUUUUUAACAUAAAUUCAACAAUAACAAUUAUAGCAAUACAAACAAUAAUAUCCUAAAUUAAGAUAAACUAAUUAAAUGUAAUUCUAUAUAUAUAAAUUAACAUUUUUAAAAUAAAUCAACAAUAACAAUUAUAUAUAUAAAUUAACAUUUUUAACAUAAAUUCAACAAUAACAAUUAUAGCAAUACAAACAAUAAUAUCCUAAAUUAAGAUAAACUAAUUAAAUGUAAUUCUAUAUAUAUAAAUUAACAUUUUUAACAUAAAUUCAACAAUAACAAUUAUAUAUAUAAAUUAACAUUUUUAACAUAAAUUCAAGAAUAACAAUUAUAGCAAUACAAACAAUAAUAUCCUAAAUUAAGAUAAACUAAUUAAAUGUAAUUCUAUAUAUAUAAAUUAACAUUUUUAACAUAAAUUCAACAAUAACAAUUAUAGCAAUACAAACAAUAAUAUCAUAAAAUUAAUAAAUAAAACUAAAAAACUAAAAAACACUACACAACACACAACAUAAACACAAAACAAACAAUACACAAAACUAAAAAACACUAUAUCAAUUCAAAAUAAAUUUGGGAAUAAAAAAUGCUUACCUUAAUAGUGUGUUGAAUUUAAGAUUUUAUCUACAAAAAAUACACAAAACAAAGAACACCAAAAAA
This 1084-nucleotide long non-coding RNA is filed under the name Populus trichocarpa (black cottonwood). RNAcentral's name for it is "long non-coding RNA (PTRI_LNC000027)". The record is from RNAcentral. Lineage: Eukaryota; Viridiplantae; Streptophyta; Magnoliopsida; Malpighiales; Salicaceae.